AUGUCCUCUAUGCUGAUGUUGAUUUCUUGGGAGCUUUGGAAGCAGCGCAACGCGAGGGUCUUCGGAAACACCGUGACUCCCUCCACGGUCAUUGUGCACAACAUCAAAGCGGAAAUUAGUUUGUGGGUGCUCGCGGGCGCUAAGCACUUUGGUCUUGUAGAGCCGCGAAGGUGA
RNAcentral lists this ribosomal RNA (174 nucleotides) under Triticum aestivum (bread wheat). RNAcentral's name for it is "partial small subunit ribosomal RNA". The record is from RNAcentral. Lineage: Eukaryota; Viridiplantae; Streptophyta; Magnoliopsida; Poales; Poaceae.